UUUUUAUAUUGAUUGUAUUAAAUUAUUGAAGCACAGUGCAUUUAUUUGUCUGUUUUUCUUCCAGUGAGAUGGAACUUUGCAGUGCAGAGUGUGGAGAGGAGGAGUGGAGGAGGAGGAGGCUUAUAUCCGUAUUGUCAUACAAAAUACAGGUACACUGGAGACAACUAUGAAUUGUAUUUGUCCCUCCUCCAACUAUAUUGUAUAUCUGUCUUUUUUUCAUAGGCACAGAAAUGGGAGACAUGUCAAAGCAAAGAAGUCAAUGUGAAAAGAAACCAAGGGAUUCAGUGGGACAUACGUACUCACAUACCUCAUGUUCCCAGAUUCUACCUGGGUCCAGGCUGGGUCAGGCGGACUGCUGAGGUCUUGAAGCGGGACCAUCAAGCUCAAGAGACAAAGCACCAUGGCCUGUGUGCUCCACGCUUCUACAUACAGUAUUUACUCUGUCCUUGCUCUUUGCAGCAAGUACUCAAUUAUUAUUAUUAUUUUUUUUGAGCUCCAACACCAGCCAGAUGUGAUCCUACAGAAAGAGAGGAGGAGGGAAAAACAGUGACACUGACACAAGCAACUAAAAUACAGUACAGUGAGAUGGAAUUUUACAGUGCAGACUGGAGAGGAGUGGAGGAGGAGGUUUAUAUCUAUAUUGUCAUACAAAAUACAGAUACACUGGAGACCAUCAAGCUCAAGAGACAAAGCACCAUGGCGUCACAGUUCUACAUACAGUAUUUACUCUGUCCUUGCCCUUUGCAGCAACUACCCAAAACCAUCUAUGGUAUACUAUUCACUGUGUUUGGAAUACUUAGAUUUUACUAUUGAAUCUAUAGCAGCCAGCUAUUAGCAAAAAGUGUGACCAAAAUAAUACAUUAAAAUUAGGGAACAUAGACACUCCUGUAGGUGCUCCACCUGCUGUUUGGAAUAAAGGAACACAUGACGACAUAUAAUGGACAAAAUGCUUCCAACACCAGGCAGAUGUGAUCAUAUAGAAAGAGAGGAGGAGGGAAAAACGGUGAAAAAGACAAAAACAACUAAUAUACAGUACAGUGACAUGGAACUUUGCAGUGCAGACUGUGGAGAGGAGGAGUGGAGGAGGAGGCUUAUAUCCAUAUUGUCAUACAAAAUACAGGGACAGAAAUGGGAGACAUGUCAAAAGAAAACACCAUGUGUGGCUCCUUUGGGUAUUUUGGGAUUUCAAGGGGAAUCAAGUGAAAUGGAACUUUUGAGUGUGGAGAGGAGAAGUGGCAGAGGAAGCUAAUAGCCACAUUGUCAUACAAAGUAGGACUGCUGAGGUCCUGAGGUGGGACUGUCCUGCGACCAGCUCAGAAGGCAAAGCACCAUGGCCUGUGUGCUCCGUGUUUCUCCAUGACGACCUGAGUGCUGUCCACCAACCUGUAGCAAUGCCUCUGAUGUCCCAUGUCCCUUUUCUUUUGAGCUUCCAACACAGAAAAGGCCAGAAGUAAAUGGGAGACAUGUCAAAAAGUAGUCAAUGUCAAAAGAAAACAGAAGCCUUACAGUAUAUGUGUCUGUUUUGGAUAUUUGGGGGAAGUCUAGGUAUGCAGAAGGCCCUGCGUUCCGGAGUCCGCCAUGAGGUCCAGGCUGGCGAAACUGUCGUGUGACCAACUCACAGCAGAUGGAACUGUGGAGAGGAGGAGUGGAAGAGGAGGCUUAUAUCCAGGGACAGAAAUGGAAGGCUGUUUUGCUGGUGGCCUAACCACUGCCAGACGUGUCAGUGAUAUUCAUCCUUUAUCAGGACAGAAAUGGGAGACAUCUCAAAGCGGAGAAGUGAAUGUCAAAAGAAAACCGGGAAAACAUGGAUUGGGAAAAAAAGGUUCUCCAUGUUGGGCAUUAAGAGUAAAACAUCCAGUUAGUGUCGAACAAGAGAGAAG
Long non-coding RNA from Boleophthalmus pectinirostris (great blue-spotted mudskipper), 1880 nucleotides. RefSeq lists it as uncharacterized. NCBI's taxonomy places the organism in Eukaryota, Metazoa, Chordata, Actinopteri, Gobiiformes, Gobiidae. The transcript has 8 exons. The record is from RefSeq and is a predicted model, not a curated record.